GGAUCGAUGAUGAUUCCUAGUCAAACAUUCCUUGGAAAAGCUGAACAAAAUGAGUGAAAACUCAAUACCACCUCUCUCAUCGGGACUGAGGUCC
Molecule: small nucleolar RNA, 94 nt
Organism: Meriones unguiculatus (Mongolian gerbil)
Lineage: Eukaryota; Metazoa; Chordata; Mammalia; Rodentia; Muridae
Gene: SNORD116
Rfam family: Small nucleolar RNA SNORD116
About the family: HBII-85 is a member of the C/D class of snoRNAs, which contain the C (UGAUGA) and D (CUGA) box motifs. HBII-85 is encoded in a tandemly repeated array with another C/D snoRNA, HBII-52, in the Prader-Willi syndrome (PWS) region of chromosome 15.
Source: Ensembl